Serinus canaria (Common canary) is the source of this 1533-nucleotide long non-coding RNA. RefSeq lists it as uncharacterized. The transcript has 3 exons. The record is from RefSeq and is a predicted model, not a curated record. NCBI's taxonomy places the organism in Eukaryota, Metazoa, Chordata, Aves, Passeriformes, Fringillidae.
AGCAUCCCUGGCUGAGGCGGAGCCGCUCCCGCUGCCCAUCCCGGCGCUCCCGAGGAUAUUCCCGCUGGGAGCGGGGCGAUACCCGCACCCCCGGAGCGGGCAGAGGCUCUGCGGAAGGAGGAUGCGGAGGAUGCCGCUCCGCGCACCGAGGGAGCCGCAGCCCCGGGAGGCUUCGGGCGCUGCCGGCGGAGGUGGAGGUUUUGGCAUUCCUGCUGGGACAGCUCCCAUCGGCCCCAGGAGCCGCUGGAACCUCCUUGUGCCCGCGGUGAGGACGCCAGGGCAUGAGUGGCACUUGUCCCCUCCCGAGGCAGGAUUUAUCCCUGGAUGGUUCCUCGGAGCUUUGCCUGGGCUUUGGAUGCUCCCUUCUGUCGGCAGCUGGAAUGGCAGGGUCAUUCCUCCUGCUCCUCCCAAAUCCUGUGGAUUUACUGCUUUUGGCAUCUCCUGCUGGGACUGGCUCUGGCACAGGGAAUCUCCGAGGGACAGAUGGGGAAAAGCAGCACCAGCAGCCUGAGGCUACAAUUCUCCUUUUUUCUGGGCUACUCGGAGCAUCCUGGCUCUGCAGGAGGAAGGAUUCCAUGCACUGCUGGAGGACAAGUCCUGCUGCUCUGAUGGUCCCUGCUGGAGGCUCGGGGUGAGGGACACAGGGACAGCCAGGAACAGCUCCCGAGGACAGGACAGACUGCAGCUGGGACAGAGGGACAGAAGGACAGCCAGGAACAUCUCCUGAGGACAGGAUGGACACUGUAGCUGGGACAGAGGGACAGAAGGACAGCCAGGAACAUCUCCUGAGGACAGGAUGGACACUGCAGCUGGAGCAGAGGGACAGAAGGACAGCCAGGAACAGCUCCUGAGGACAGGAUGGACACCUGCAGCCGGAGCAGAGGGACAGAAGGACAGCCUGAGGCCAGGACAGACUGCAGCUGGAGCUGAGGAGCAGCAGCCCCCUGGGCAGCCAUGGACCAUCAGGGCUGGGAGAGGCUCUUCCCUGAGCCCCAUUCCCCUCCUGCCCAGCCUGCCUGGGCUGCACAUCCCUCCCGGAGCUGGGCUCCUCCACGUGGAGCUGGCAGCGCUCAGGAGGGAUUUCUGCUGGGCUCUGGGAAUUAUCCUCGUGGAUCCUGGCCAUGGAUGGAUGGAUGGAUGGAUGGUGAAAGCUCCAGGAGCUCAGUGCUUUUCUCUGGCCAGCACCAAGCACUUGCCUGGUUUGCAGUGGAUUUUUUUGCUCUUUAUUUUUGCUGCUUUUUGGGGGUUUGGGUGUUUCCCGAGGAUGCUGGAGCUGCAGUGGAUCCCGUGGUGGGGACUGGAGCCUUUGGAAGAGCAGGAGCUGAGCUGCUGCUGGGGUUCCAGACUGGCAGGGGCUCACCCUGUGCUGGGUGGCCUCAGGAGGGUCCUUGUGCCAUCCCAGUGGAUCCCACGCAGGUGGGAAUGUGGAGCAGGAAUGGGGGGCCACACCCCAGCCAGGGGAAUGUCACAGUGAGGGGAGUGUCACCCUCAGGGACAAUUAAACUGCCUUUAAUAAACCCCAUUGGCUCUGUG